ACCUUGAACAGGCCAUCUUCAAGGAAAAACCAGAUCGAAUUUCCUUGGAAGAGGAUAAUGUGGCCAACAACUUUGCAAAUGCUUCAAAAGUAGAUGCUUCAGAAGGCACAUCUAAACCUAGCAAGUUAUAACCAUAAGCUGUUACACAAGCUACACUUUUCUUAAGGAGUGAAAUCCCUUUCUGCAAGUCCUUGUGUGUUUCAACAGAAUGUGGAGAUGCAGCAGAGUAAUUGAAGCUGCUACUUCGAGAAGAAUCAAG
This 259-nucleotide unclassified non-coding RNA is filed under the name Hevea brasiliensis (rubber tree). The record is from RNAcentral. Lineage: Eukaryota; Viridiplantae; Streptophyta; Magnoliopsida; Malpighiales; Euphorbiaceae.